AGAUACCAAGCCUAAUUGCAAAACCAAACAGAUACCAUGAUUCGUGAGCUUGAAAGUAAAACCCUAAUCUCCCAUUCUGCUACCGAUUUCCCUCUGCCUAUUCUCCUUCGUUUUUAAAACACAAAGAAACGUCUGAUGUCUCUUUUCUUCUCCCUAUACUUCUUCUUCUUUGGUUUUUACAACAACAUCCAAAAAUGCUUUGUGUUCUUUUUAGCUUUCUUUGUUUUCUUUUCAGAAACAUGCGUAGAACAAAGGAGCUUCCCGAUGCUUAUACGGAGUGUAAUUGUUUGAUUCUAAUAUUGUGGACUGAUUUUCUUUUUGCAGGGAUAAAGUAGAAUAGUUAACUGAAGAAAGAAGGAAUUAAUCAAUUGGAAUACAGAAUUGAAAGAAUCAAUCAAUAAACAUGUACGCGUGGGUCUUUCAAUGAUGAGAUGAAAGAAAUAGUUGAGAUGGAAAUGGCAAUGAAGAGUAUGUUGAAAUGGGUUGAGAAGAAUACGGAUCUCAAGAAAACAAAGAUCAACUUUACAAGCAUGUCACCUGCUCAUGGCAGGAGUAUGGAUUGGGGAGGUGACAAAGAUGGCAGCUGUUAUAACCAAACGACUCCAAUUAAAGAUCCGUCUUAUUGGGGAAAUUGAUCGCGUAAGAGCAUAAUGAGAGUAAUCAGAGACGUGUUUAAUAAAACUAAGGUUGCCUUCAGUGAGAUUUGGAAGGGAAAAUAAGAGCAUGGAGGCCAAUAGAAUAUGCCGUGUAAAGGUUUCAACUUUUUCCAGAAGCACCACGUCAGAACCGUAUUUUGCCCUAUAAUACUUCUCUCCAUGUUUUUAUAGUGACCGGAUUCUAUUACGGAUGCUCAAGUUUGAAGGUGAAUGUUUGAAAAUAUAAUUUUUCAGAACAUGAAUGCUUAUUUUUCUAUUGAACUGAUAUUGCUCAUAGACAUCUACAAGAAACGUAAACUUAUGUAUGCAUGGUGGACCACUGAAUUGAAAAACAUGAACUCUGGUAUACAUGGUAGACUCACUCAAUCACUAUUAGUUUUUAGGUUACUCAUUCGUGGAGGUUUCUUUUGACUUUUAAAAUAAAUUUGUUCAGGAAGAUGCAAUUUUUUUGAAUGUCCCAGUUAUUUUGCUGAUUUUUAAAUAUUCUCUUGAAUUGCGUUACAUCAGAUGUAUUUCCAUGUGGAUAGAUCACUCCACGCCACCAAUGCUAAAUGUAUUUUCAUUUGAUGUUGUUCGAAGGGGGAAUGAUGAGAUGGUAAUAUAUAAGUCAUAAGAGGUAAAGUCUGGCAUUGCAUGGGUACCAAUGUGUUCCAAUUAAGUAACGUCACUCAUUCUGCAGUAGUGUAUGCCCAAACGUCAUACGGGCUCCAUAAACUGCAUGUUACUGUCACUUAUGACACUAAUUUUUCUUAAGAACUUCAAUGAAGAUCGAGAAUAUGAAAAUUCCAAGUAUUGGUGUUGCUUAUGAUCGAGGUUGAAGUGUGAAUUAUGAUUAAGUUGAUUGUUAAAACAUUUGUUUGGCAUCACAUUUCGCAGAUAUGAAAUGAAUUUCAUCAUGCCCUAUGGAACACUGCUAAUGUACUCACGAUAAUCCCAGGUAUUGUAUGAAUAUCGACGUUAUUUCUGUAAGUUGGUCUCAUUUUCCUUUGUCACUGUUGCUAGAUGAAUUUUCAGAGUUGCCAACCACACUAUAUUUGGGAAUUCCUGUUUUAAUAACAGGUAUAAAGAGAUAUUUGAGAUAUAGUUUUUCGACGAUAGAUAAACUUCAUCCAAAAGGUGGAAAUAUUUGCAAAGGUGCCACUUCUAACACUAAAUGAUCCUAUGGUAACAUGGUGAAUAUCUUUGGGGGCUGCAUUAGAAUAACAUAGGAAAAAGAAAUUCUUAAUUACUUCCAAGUUUGUAGUGUUAGGCCAGGGUUUGAUGAAGAACCGAAGUACUCAGAUAUCUAUCCAAGUUAACUAAUUGGAUAUGGGCUCUGGAGAAGAAGAUAUCAUCACUGCUUAAACACUUGGUGGUUGAACAAGAUUACUAUUUUUUUCCAGAUCCAUUUAUCUGAUGGGUAGUGUUUCUCCUGGUAUACACAUCUCACAUGUAACAUCAAACUCCAAGGUUGGGGUUCCAUCAUCUUUUGGGAUAAACAGAAAAAUUAACCCCAGAGAAAUAUAAAAAUUAACCCCGUGCAACGCACGGGCAAGACACUAGUACAUAUG
Long non-coding RNA from Papaver somniferum (opium poppy), 2206 nucleotides. RefSeq lists it as uncharacterized. The record is from RefSeq and is a predicted model, not a curated record. The transcript is spliced from 6 exons. NCBI's taxonomy places the organism in Eukaryota, Viridiplantae, Streptophyta, Magnoliopsida, Ranunculales, Papaveraceae.